AGCGAACGCUGGCGGCAGGCCUAACACAUGCAAGUCGAACGAACCUUUCGGGGUUAGUGGCGGACGGGUGAGUAACACGUGGGGACGUGCCUUUAGGUUCGGAAUAACUCAGGGAAACUUGUGCUAAUACCGAAUGUGCCCUUCGGGGGAAAGAUUAAUCGCCUUUAGAGCGGCCGCGUCUGAUUAGCUAGUUGGUUGAGGUAAUGGCUCACCAAGGCGACGAUCAGUAGCUGGUCUGAGAGGAUGAUCAGCCACAUUGGGACUGAGACACGGCCCAAACUCCUACGGGAGGCAGCAGUGGGGAAUCUUGCGCAAUGGGCGAAAGCCUGACGCAGCCAUGCCGCGUGAAUGAUGAAGGUCUUAGGAUUGUAAAAUUCUUUCACCGGGGACGAUAAUGACGGUACCCGGAGAAGAAGCCCCGGCUAACUUCGUG
RNAcentral lists this ribosomal RNA (433 nucleotides) under uncultured bacterium. RNAcentral describes it as "partial 16S ribosomal RNA". It matches the Rfam family "Bacterial small subunit ribosomal RNA", at positions 29 to 507 of the family's 1533-position model. The record is from RNAcentral.